RNAcentral lists this ribosomal RNA (565 nucleotides) under uncultured bacterium. RNAcentral describes it as "bacterial SSU rRNA". It matches the Rfam family "Bacterial small subunit ribosomal RNA", at positions 330 to 912 of the family's 1533-position model. The record is from RNAcentral.
CCCAGACUCCUACGGGAGGCAGCAGUGGGGAAUAUUGGACAAUGGGCGCAAGCCUGAUCCAGCAAUGCCGCGUGAGUGAUGAAGGCCUUAGGGUUGUAAAGCUCUUUCGCACGCGACGAUGAUGACGGUAGCGUGAGAAGAAGCCCCGGCUAACUUCGUGCCAGCAGCCGCGGUAAUACGAAGGGGGCGAGCGUUGUUCGGAAUUACUGGGCGUAAAGGGCGCGCAGGCGGCGCGACAAGUCAGGCGUGAAAGCCCCGGGCUCAACCUGGGAAUUGCGCUUGAUACUGUCGUGCUGGAGUUCGGGAGAGGAGAGUGGAAUUCCCAGUGUAGAGGUGAAAUUCGUAGAUAUUGGGAAGAACACCGGUGGCGAAGGCGGCUCUCUGGACCGAUACUGACGCUGAGGCGCGAAAGCGUGGGGAGCAAACAGGAUUAGAUACCCUGGUAGUCCACGCUGUAAACGAUGUGUGCUAGACGUUGGGGAGCCUAGCUCUCCGGUGUCGCAGCUAACGCGUUAAGCACACCGCCUGGGGAGUACGGCCGCAAGGUUAAAACUCAAAGGAAUGA